CCAGGCUUCAGUGCACAGGACAAUGUAAGGAGAGAGCAAGCAAGAACAUUUGUUAUUUCUACCCAGGCGGAAAGCAAACAGCAGCAAGAGCAGCAGAAGAUUCAAUGUCGGAACAGCCUACAAACUGCAGGCUGUAACCUCGACGGUAUUGAUUGAGUGCACUUGUCCAUCUUCAUUUUUAACGCAAAAUAAAAUGCGUGAAGAACUGUGGAGAUGGCCAGGCAAAGGAGGAUCUUCUUGGCUUCAUUUGUACCAGAGCACUUUAUCAAGACUGAAUAUAAUUUUGCUGGCCUAUUUAUGAGCUAAAAAUAGACAUUAUUUUGUUUGGCCCAUUUUCCAUCUUAGGCUCUCCUGGGAGCCCAGGUGAACUGUGGCUCAUUUUUAACUCCCUCCCAUCAUUGCGUAUUUUCCGUCGACCCAGGCUGCAUGGAAGUGAAAGUCACUUUGUACUGCCAGUCGCACUGGAGCGCGCUGAAUCUCCCAGAAGCAGGGAAAGAAAAAGGCCCGUGGAGAGGACUUUCCAUUCUUAGCGAAACCUAGCUGCUGUGGCCUGAGGGGCUAAUCAAGCAUUAUAAACACUGAUUAAAUAAGAGUGCACCUGCUGAGGAGUCACUGAGGACCAGCUGAGUGACACAGGCAGUUACACACAAGCAUGGAGCCAAGAUACCUGACAGUGGCGUGGACUUCCUGGAAGAAGUGAAUGUGAAUAGAACUGAAAGUAGAGGAGAAAGGGCAUUCUCAUGCAGGUGAUUUAAAGUCCAGAAUUUGGGAUAGAAAGGAAGUGAUGGGAAGGAGGAAAGUCGGAAUGGAAAGAAGGAAGGAGAGAAAAUAAGAACAAAUCUCUUACAUGUCCAUGUACUGUAUUAUUCCCUGAAUAUCUUACAGCAAAAACAAAAACAAAUAGUCUCUGUGAUAAUUCUAGCAUUCACAUUUCUUGGUUAAUUUCUCAAAUAAGUAUUUUAUUUUAAGGAAAAUAAUAAACAAAAUUAUAAAUUCAAAAUGGAGGGCAAGCGAUUUAGAACAUUUAGAUGGUUACUGCUCAAAUUACGGUCCCCGCCUCAUCAGUGUAAGCCUCACCUGGGU
RNAcentral lists this long non-coding RNA (1083 nucleotides) under Equus caballus (horse). RNAcentral's name for it is "lncRNA (ENSECAG00000031439.3)". Lineage: Eukaryota; Metazoa; Chordata; Mammalia; Perissodactyla; Equidae. The record is from RNAcentral.